ACUCCUACGGGAGGCAGCAGUGGGGAAUAUUGCACAAUGGGCGCAAGCCUGAUGCAGCCAUGCCGCGUGUGUGAAGAAGGCCUUCGGGUUGUAAAGCACUUUCAGUCGUGAGGAAGGUAGUGUAGUUAAUAGCUGCAUUAUUUGUACGUUAGCGACAGAAGAAGCACCGGCUAACUCCGUGCCAGUAGCCGCGGUAAUACGGAGGGUGCGAGCGUUAAUCGGAAUUACUGGGCGUAAAGCGCAUGCAGGCGGCCUGUUAAGUCAGAUGUGAAAGCCCGGGGUCUUAACCUCGGAAUUGCAUUUGAAACUGGCAGGCUAGAGUCUUGUAGAGGGGGUUAGGAAUUUCAGGUGUAGCGGUGAAAUGCGUAGAGAUCUGAAGGAAUACCAGUGCGAAGGCGGCCCCUGGACAAAGACUGACGCUCAGAUGCGAAAGCGUGGGAGCAAACAGGAUUAGAUACCCCUGGUAGCGUCGUC
RNAcentral lists this ribosomal RNA (474 nucleotides) under uncultured bacterium. RNAcentral describes it as "bacterial SSU rRNA". It matches the Rfam family "Bacterial small subunit ribosomal RNA", at positions 335 to 801 of the family's 1533-position model. The record is from RNAcentral.